Molecule: long non-coding RNA, 378 nt
Filed under: Brachypodium distachyon (stiff brome)
Lineage: Eukaryota; Viridiplantae; Streptophyta; Magnoliopsida; Poales; Poaceae
Description: long non-coding RNA (BDIS_LNC001937)
Source: RNAcentral
CAGCAUACAAGCUCAUACAGAAGCAAAAUUCAGCAGGUUAUCAUGUACAAGUGGCGGGUUAUAGGAAGACAGAACAGCAUACAAAGCUCAUACACAUACGGAAGCAAAAUUCAGCAGGUUAUCAUGUACAAUCUCACUUGUACAUGCAACAGUUCUAUCCAAAGCAAAAGAUAAAAGGCAACAUAGAACAUAAAUAUCUUGAUCAAAAUUAAUUUUCCAUACAUGAUUAUCUCAAGGACAACAAUCCAUGGGAAACAUCAUUAAAAAAGAAGGUACGAUCAACACUUUAAUUUGCAUCCGAUCUUUCUCAUCAAUUCGUUAUAUCUCUCACAUCAUAUGAAAAUAAAGGAGCUGAAACCUGCAUGUUGUGCCUUCCCC